CCUACGGGAGGCAGCAGUGGGGAAUAUUGGACAAUGGGCGAAAGCCUGAUCCAGCCAUGCCGCGUGUGUGAAGAAGGCCUUCGGGUUGUAAAGCACUUUCAGUGGGGAAGAAAGCCUUGGGGCUAAUACCCUCGAGGAAGGACAUCACCCACAGAAGAAGCACCGGCUAACUCCGUGCCAGCAGCCGCGGUAAUACGGAGGGUGCGAGCGUUAAUCGGAAUUACUUGUCGUAAAGCGCGCGUAGGCGGUCUGAUAAGCCGGUUGUGAAAGCCCCGGGCUCAACCUGGGAACGGCAUCCGGAACUGUCAGGCUAGAGUGCAGGAGAGGAAGGUAGAAUUCCCGGUGUAGCGGUGAAAUGCGUAGAGAUCGGGAGGAAUACCAGUGGCGAAGGCGGCCUUCUGGACUGACACUGACGCUGAGGUGCGAAAGCGUGGGUAGCAAACAGGAUUAGAUACCCUGGUAGUC
This 465-nucleotide ribosomal RNA is filed under the name Vreelandella stevensii. RNAcentral's name for it is "partial 16S ribosomal RNA". It matches the Rfam family "Bacterial small subunit ribosomal RNA", at positions 338 to 795 of the family's 1533-position model. The record is from RNAcentral. Lineage: Bacteria; Pseudomonadati; Pseudomonadota; Gammaproteobacteria; Oceanospirillales; Halomonadaceae.